UACAGAGGUGGCAAGCGUUGUUCGGAAUUACUGGGCGUAAAGGGCGCGUAGGCGGCCUUCUAAGUCAGACGUGAAAUCCCCCGGCUUAACCUGGGAACUGCGUCUGAUACUGGGAGGCUAGAGUGCGGGAGAGGGAUGCGGAAUUCCAGGUGUAGCGGUGAAAUGCGUAGAUAUUGGAAGGAACGCCGGAGGCGAAAGCGGCGCACUGGACCUCUUCUGACGCUGAGGCGCGAAAGCUAGGGGAGCAAACGGG
This 253-nucleotide ribosomal RNA is filed under the name uncultured bacterium. RNAcentral's name for it is "partial 16S ribosomal RNA". It matches the Rfam family "Bacterial small subunit ribosomal RNA", at positions 524 to 776 of the family's 1533-position model. The record is from RNAcentral.